ACUGUGUGAUAACUUGCCCAGAAAUUCUUCUUGUGGAAUCUGUCUUUACAUGGAAACGACUUGGCAAUAUUUGUACAGCAACUGGAAGAAAGGUCUUUGCUGAGAUAUACAAAGAGGCAGAAUGUGUGUGGAUCACCGAUUAGACAAGGCAAAUAGGAGCAGAAUAGAAGAGGAAUGGAAUAGAACUCAAGAUGAUAAAACAUACUGUGUCCAGAAUUUAUUCCUUCCGGUGGGUUCUUGGUCUCACUGACUUUAAGAAUGAAGCUGAGGACCCUCGUGCCUCCAUGAAGGUAGUGAAUCUCAUCUGGCAGCUGAAGCCUCCAUGAAGGUAGUGAAUCUCAUCUGGCAGCUGAAGCCUCCAUGAAGAAAGUCAUGCCCAGGUGGCUCACCAACCUGGAGAAGGGACAAGAGACCUCUGGAGCUUCGCCUUUAUAGCUGAUUGCUUUUUGAAUCCCAGCCAUCCCAGCCUCCACAGUCUGAAGCAGAAACAUCUCAUCCAAACUGCAUUUGUGUGAGCAAGAAAUAAAUGCAGACAGCUAUAUGCCAAGGAGAUUUUAUAGUUGCUUGUUAUGUAAUAACAAUGACUAAUAGAGAAAUGAUUGAAGAGUACUGAAUCACAACAUUACUAGCUCAACCUGCUCCCCAGAAAAUUGCUAAUAAAGACAAUAAUAACAAGAAUUCCCUCUUAUUAAUGCCUAUCAAAUGCCAGCAAUAACUAGAUGCUUUGCACAUUGUAAUCUCAUUUUAUCCUAGGAAGACAACAACUCUGUGAAGUUGGUGAUCUUAUCCCUGUUUCAUUCCCAGGAAAUUAGGAUUCAGAAAUGGCUUAUAGAUUUUCAGAGAUCACAAAGUUAAGAAGUAUCAAUUCCAAGCUUACAAGCCAAAGACUUUAGACUAUAAAAUUCCUACCUGUUAGCUGGUGCCAAUGUGGCAAGAUUUGCCUUUACUACUCUUCAGCUUAUCUUUCCAUCAUUCCAUUCCCACAUUUCCACUCCCAUUCCCCAGCCCAUGUAAUUUCUAUUGAGUGCUGUAACUUUAUUCUAUGUAAUGCUAAGUUGUAAGGGCUCAGAAUUUAAGUUGCCUUUCAUGGUAUCCUAAUUUUGGUAGUAGGGAAUAGAUAGGCAUAGAUGGGGUGAAAAAAUGCGUUCAUAUAUUUGUAGAAUGCUCAUAGCAAAAAACAAAAUGAAGUUAUCUUAACUAUGUCAAAAGUUUUAGUGAAUCCAAAUAAUGUAUGCAAAAAAAAAAUUUUUAAUAAAAGCAAGAGUUGCAUAAGAAACAAAUAUUUAGGAAGAAUUGGGAUGUCUAUCACCACCCACAAAAUUAUAGAGUUAUUAUAUCCCCUGAUUGUAGAUCAGGAACAGUAGUCAAAGGGAUUGUUUAAAAAUGCAAAUCUGAUUAUGUCGCUUACAUUUUAAUAGGUAGAGACAGUCAGUAAUUGCUAUGGCCUGAACGUUUGUGUCCUACAAUUCAUAUAUUGAAACCUAAUUAUCAAAGUGAUGGUAUUAUCAUGUAGGCCUCUGGCAAAUGAUUUGAUUUUGAAGAUGGAGCCUGUAUGAAUGGGAUUAGUGUCCUUAUAAAACAGACACAAGGAAGCUCAUUGGCUCUUUCUACCCUGUGAGCAUACAAAAAGAAGGUACCAAUUAUGAAGCAGAAUGUGGGUCCCCAUGAGAUGCUGAAUCUGUUCAUACCUUGAUUUCAGAUCUUCCAGCCUGUGGAAAUGUGAGAAAUAAAUUUUUUUAAACCACGUAGUCUAUGGCAUUU
This is a long non-coding RNA of Gorilla gorilla gorilla (western lowland gorilla), 1761 nucleotides long. RefSeq lists it as uncharacterized. The transcript has 4 exons. NCBI's taxonomy places the organism in Eukaryota, Metazoa, Chordata, Mammalia, Primates, Hominidae. The record is from RefSeq and is a predicted model, not a curated record.